RNAcentral lists this ribosomal RNA (496 nucleotides) under uncultured bacterium. RNAcentral's name for it is "partial 16S ribosomal RNA". It matches the Rfam family "Bacterial small subunit ribosomal RNA", at positions 28 to 506 of the family's 1533-position model. The record is from RNAcentral.
GAUGAACGCUGGCGGCGUGCCUAAUACAUGCAAGUCGAGCGAACAGAUAAGGAGCUUGCUCCUUUGACGUUAGCGGCGGACGGGUGAGUAACACGUGGAUAACCUACCUAUAAGACUGGGAUAACUUCGGGAAACCGGAGCUAAUACCGGAUAACAUAUUGAACCGCAUGGUUCAAUAGUGAAAGGCGGCUUUGCUGUCACUUAUAGAUGGAUCCGCGCCGUAUUAGCUAGUUGGUAAGGUAACGGCUUACCAAGGCAACGAUACGUAGCCGACCUGAGAGGGUGAUCGGCCACACUGGAACUGAGACACGGUCCAGACUCCUACGGGAGGCAGCAGUAGGGAAUCUGCCGCAAUGGGCGAAAGCCUGACGGAGCAACGCCGCGUGAGUGAUGAAGGUCUUCGGAUCGUAAAACUCUGUUAUCAGGGAAGAACAAAUGUGUAAGUAACUGUGCACAUCUUGACGGUACCUGAUCAGAAAGCCACGGCGAACUACGU